AGAGCGGCAAUGAUAAAGAGUAGUACGUUCGUCCAUCGGUUUUCAGAGAGUUUGUGGCAGGUGGAAACAAACAACCAGGCGAACGGAAUGGACUUUUGAGCCCCGGGAAGAAUAUUAUCCUACGAUAAAGUAAUUUCCGGCGCGUUCCUUGCGUUAAAAGGGACGAGGCUGUCUCAAAAGCCUAAGGGUCAGACCCCAUAACACAAUAUAUAGGACAUAAUAAUUGGAUAAAUGUGCUAUAUAUUGAUAAAUACACAUGAGUUCAGACCCAUAUGAGACAGCCUCAAUGAGUGACUCUUAGGAGUAAUUAGGGUGGCAACGCGGACCAUUCGUCCCUAUU
This 340-nucleotide non-coding RNA is filed under the name Bacillus methanolicus. Its description in RNAcentral is "T-box sequence". It matches the Rfam family "T-box leader". From Rfam's summary of the family: Uncharged tRNA acts as the effector for transcription antitermination of genes in the T-box leader family. T-boxes are found upstream of many aminoacyl-tRNA synthetase genes and some amino acid biosynthetic genes usually in Gram-positive bacteria. Lineage: Bacteria; Bacillati; Bacillota; Bacilli; Caryophanales; Bacillaceae. The record is from RNAcentral.